CUAGCCUGCGCCAGCUUUCUCGCUCGGGUGGGAACACAAGAAAAGUAAGCGGCCCAUCGGCCCAGUCCGACGCUACAUCGCCUCACUCAGUCGCCAUCAUCGUCGGUCAGUCGCUCUGUCUCUCCCUAGGGUUCGCUACGCCGGCGGUGAAGAGCAGCCGCUGCUCCAUCAGGGCGCGAGCAGCCUAGCCGUGGAGCGGCAGAGCCAGCCGUUGCCCCGUCCAUGGUGUGAGGAUGCCUAGCCGUCGAGAUGGCGGAGCCAGCCGCGGCCACGUACAGGGUGCGACGCCCCCGGUGCCGUCGAGACCGUUGAGCCGCGGACCAAGCAUCGUCGAUGCCGCUGAUUCUUCCCCAAGGAUUUCUCUGCUGCUUGCCUCGCGUUGCAUUGGUUUGCUGCUUGCUUUGCCUUGCUGUACAUGUUCAGUUUCAGUUGUGCAGAAACUGCAAUUUUAGUUGUGCAGACAGCAGAGAAGCAGCAGCAACAAAGAAGCAGCAACAGCAGGAGAACUGCCAGAUUGAGCUUGUAACUGAUGUGAAUUGUACACUUCAGUGAAUAGUGUGACUGAAUGUUGUAUCCAGAUUGUAAUCAUGUAAUUUGAGAGUGUAGUUGAGUGAAUUUGAGUGUGAUUACUGUUACAAAUAUUGAAUGUGAAUCACUGAAGUUCUGUGUA
This 670-nucleotide ribosomal RNA is filed under the name Triticum aestivum (bread wheat). RNAcentral's name for it is "partial small subunit ribosomal RNA". Lineage: Eukaryota; Viridiplantae; Streptophyta; Magnoliopsida; Poales; Poaceae. The record is from RNAcentral.